Molecule: non-coding RNA, 919 nt
Filed under: Chioglossa lusitanica
Lineage: Eukaryota; Metazoa; Chordata; Amphibia; Caudata; Salamandridae
Source: RNAcentral
CACAGGUUUGGUCCUAGCCUUACUAUUAAUUUUAACUGCAUUUACACAUGCAAGUAUCAGCCCCCCCGUGAAAAUGCCCUUUUUCACCGCUAAGUGACUCAGGAGCAGAUAUCAGGCUCUAUAGGCCCAAGACAUCUUGUUUAGCCACACCCUCAAGGGAAUUCAGCAGUGAUAAACAUUGAGAAAUAAGCGCUUAAGCUUGAACCAGUGACAGUUUAAAGAGUUGGUUAAUCUCGUGCCAGCCACCGCGGUUAUACGAGAAACUCAAAUUAAUAAAAUCGGCUCAAAGGGUGGUUAAAAGCAUUAUAUAAUAGAAUAAAAAAAUAAUUCUGCUGUUAUACGCAAUAAUUAUACACAACACACCAUCGAAAGUAAUUCUAACACACUUGAACCCACGACAAUUAGGACUCAAACUAGGAUUAGAUACCCUACUAUGCCUAAUCAUAAACUUUGUUAUAUCCGCCAGAGUACUACGAGCUAUAGCUUAAAACUCAAAGGACUUGGCGGUGCUCAACACCCCCUUAGAGGAGCCUGUUCUAUAAUCGAUAAUCCCCGAUAAACCUCACCAUCUAUUGCUAAUACAGCCUAUAUACCACCGUCCAGUCCGCCCUUUGAAGGAGUAAUAGCAGACACAAGCACAUACAUAAAAACGUCAGGUCAAGGUGUAGCAUAUGAGAUGGGAAGAAAUGGGCUACAUUUACUAAACUAGUAAAUACGAAUAAGCUUAUGAAACUUAAGCCCUGAAGGAGGAUUUAAUAGUAAAAAGAAAUUAGAGUGUUCUUUUUAAAACGGUAAUAGAGCGCGCACACACCGCCCGUCACCCUCUUCGAAUAAAUCCUACAUUAAAUAAAUAAACACUAAAAAUAAGAAGAGGUAAGUCGUAACAUGGUAAGUCUACCGGAAGGUGGACUUGGAAUAA